Long non-coding RNA from Artibeus jamaicensis (Jamaican fruit-eating bat), 732 nucleotides. RefSeq lists it as uncharacterized. The record is from RefSeq and is a predicted model, not a curated record. Lineage: Eukaryota; Metazoa; Chordata; Mammalia; Chiroptera; Phyllostomidae. The transcript is spliced from 4 exons.
AGGGAAACUGGAGACCUCUCGCCUUCAGACCUCCUGAGACUGGUGUCAAGAGUCGUCCCCCCCCCCCACGCCAGCCGCCAAGGGCGGGCGGGGUCCCACCCAGAGCGACUUUGGAUAGGUCUCGGGACCGCGCGGGCCUAGCUGGGUGCACACGCUUCCCGCACGAUCCGCGAGGUCGAAUUACGAAAGCUGAGUUUUUCACAGUGACUCUGACCUCCCCCUUCCCCCUCACACACUCACUUCACCGCCCUCCGGGAGCCUUUCCAUCUGCAACUACAGAACUUAUGAAAUCAUCACAGUGACCCUCCAAGGUAGAUAUUAUUGCAGAUGAUGCAACAGAGGAUCAGAGUGGGCCUUGUCACCUUGCUGGCAAAAAGGAGUGAAAAGACUCCAACAAGAGUCUGAUACCUGUCUCUUAAUAUUGAUGGGACCAGAGCAAGAGUAAAUGAAUGUCUAAAGAUAAAGAAGUUAAAAGUCAAGCUUACAAAAAUCAGAGACUGCGUUCCCAUCUGCAGAGUGGACAGGAACUAUCAGCUAUCUGUCUGUCCAAAGACAGACAUUCCUAUCUGCAAAGCAAGGCUCCAGAAUGCCCCUCUUCUGCUUCCUCCACAAUCAUCCACCUGGAGUGAGGACUCUGGGAUCCCUGCCGAGGUCUGGAUACAGGGAGAAGAGUCGGUUGUACGGGUGGCCUGCAGACCUCUUAAAUACCAACCUGUGUGUAGUGCAGUCUAG